UACAGAGGGUGCGAGCGUUAAUCGGAAUUACUGGGCGUAAAGCGUGCGUAGACGGCUAUCUAAGUCGGGUGUGAAAGCCCCGGGCUCAACCUGGGAAUUGCAUUCGAGACUGAAUAGCUAGGGUACGGUAGAGGGAAGUGGAAUUUCCGGUGUAGCGGUGAAAUGCGUAGAGAUCGGGAGGAACACCAGUGGCGAAGGCAGCCUUCUGGGCCAACACUGACGCUCAUGCACGAAAGCGUGGGGAGCAAACAGG
This 253-nucleotide ribosomal RNA is filed under the name uncultured bacterium. RNAcentral describes it as "partial 16S ribosomal RNA". It matches the Rfam family "Bacterial small subunit ribosomal RNA", at positions 524 to 776 of the family's 1533-position model. The record is from RNAcentral.